GACGUAGGGCGCGAGCGUUGUCCGGAUUUAUUGGGCGUAAAGAGCUCGUAGGCGGCUUGUCGCGUCGGCUGUGAAAUCCCGUGGCUUAACUGCGGGUCUGCAGCCGAGACGGGCAGGCUAGAGUUCGGUAGGGGAGACUGGAAUUCCUGGUGUAGCGGUGAAAUGCGCAGAUAUCAGGAGGAACACCGGUGGCGAAGGCGGGUCUCUGGGCCGAUACUGACGCUGAGGAGCGAAAGCGUGGGGAGCGAACAGG
Molecule: ribosomal RNA, 253 nt
Filed under: uncultured bacterium
Lineage: Bacteria
Description: partial 16S ribosomal RNA
Rfam family: Bacterial small subunit ribosomal RNA
Source: RNAcentral